RNAcentral lists this ribosomal RNA (787 nucleotides) under uncultured archaeon. RNAcentral's name for it is "bacterial SSU rRNA". It matches the Rfam family "Archaeal small subunit ribosomal RNA", at positions 85 to 879 of the family's 1478-position model. The record is from RNAcentral.
ACUGCUCAGUAACACGUAGCUAACCUACCCUUAAGUCAGGGAUAACCUCGGGAAACUGAGGGUAAUACCUGAUAGGAGACAUACCCUGGAAUGAUUUGUCUCUCAAACUCGAGCUUAAGGAUGGGGCUGCGGUGGAUUAGGUCGUUGGCGGGGUAAUGGCCCACCAAGCCAAAGGUCCAUAGGGGCUCUUAGCGGAGAAGCCCCGAGAGGGAAUCUGAGACACUAUUCCCAGCCCUACGGGGUGCAGCAGUUAGGAAUAAUCUACAAUGCGCGCAAGCGUGAUAGUUUGAGCCAGAGUGCUUCUCAUUAGAGAAGCUUUUGUGAAAUCUAAAACGUUUCACGAAUAAGGACUGGGUAAGACUAGUGCCAGCCGCCGCGGUAAUACUAGCGGUCCAAGUCGCAGCCAUUUUUAUUGGGUCUAAAAUAUCCGUAGCUUGCUUGAUAAGUUUCUUGUGAAAUUUUAUGUCUUAAACAUGAAGCGUGCAAGAAGUACUGUCAAGCUAGAGACUGGGAGGCGUAAGAAGUACGUUCAGAGUAGCGGUAAAAUGUGUUAAUCCUGGACGGACUCACAAAGCGAAGGCAUCUUACGAGAACAGUUCUGACAGUCAGGGAUGAAGGCUAGGGGCGCAAAACGGAUUAGAUACCCGUGUAGUCCUAGCAGUAAACACUGCACACUAAACAUCAGUACCUCCUCGAGAGGUAUUGGUGCUGCAGCGAAGGCGAAGAGUGUGCUACCUGGGAAGUAUAGUCGCAAGGCCGAAACUUAAAGGAAUUGGCGGGGGAGCAC